Molecule: non-coding RNA, 107 nt
Organism: Acanthosepion pharaonis
Lineage: Eukaryota; Metazoa; Mollusca; Cephalopoda; Sepiida; Sepiidae
Source: the annotation of a GenBank genome assembly
CCACAUCAUGUUAAAACCCCUGUUUCUGUACAAUCCCCGAAGUUAAGCAAUGGUCCACCUAGUCAGUACUUAGAUGAGUGACCAUUUGGGAAUACCAGAUGCUGUAA